GAAAAAUACGCGUCCACGAAAUCGGGAACAUGCGCGCAAAAUGCCUGCAUACGAACGGCAUUAUGCUCGCAUUUUAUCGGCACCCGUGCUGGACAGAUCCACCAUGGAAGCAAGCAAAAUGCUCGGUCAUAUGCUCGUCAUAUGACUUUCAUGUGCGGAUGCAAGUGGACCGUCAUGCGUGCCCAUUUCGUGCCGGCACGUUUUCAGCAUUUUCAGAGCACGCUGUUAUCUGGGGGUACCUGGACGUCACGCGUGGCCCAUUCCGAGCAGUCUCGGUGCCGUCAUUCGGCCGACAUCAUGUUAUCGGGGCUGUGCCAGACUGUGCCACACUGUGCAGUAUUACGCUAAACUAUUCCGUUUUGUGCUAAACUGUACCUAAACUUAAACAAAACGCUGAAACGAUAUUUUUAUUUUGAAAAAUUAGAAUUGUGCCAUGCUGUGCGAUACUGUGCCAUACUGAGUCAAGCUAUAUUACCAAAUGUUCAAAUUGGUAUAUAUGUAGCACAGUGUGGUACAGCUCCCUAUUGAUAAAUCUCAGCUGAAAAAAGUUCCAUGGGAAAAAAUCUACUUGUAGAACCGUGUUUUUUAUGCGUUUCAGACGAUUUUUUAUUGGCUAAAUGUACAUUUUGAAAGAUUUACAUUACCAUAAUAAUUUACGCGUACUUGUAUGUAUUGUUCAUUGUUAAAUGAUAAUAAUAAGUUUGUUAUGUUAAGUAUAAAUAUACAAUUAUUAUUACAUUCUCUA
Nasonia vitripennis (jewel wasp) is the source of this 745-nucleotide long non-coding RNA. RefSeq lists it as uncharacterized. NCBI's taxonomy places the organism in Eukaryota, Metazoa, Arthropoda, Insecta, Hymenoptera, Pteromalidae. The transcript has 2 exons. The record is from RefSeq and is a predicted model, not a curated record.